AAACUAACAAGGAUUCCCCUAGUAACGGCGAGUGAAGAGGGAAGAGCCCAAGAUUGAAAGCUGGCGUCUUCGGCGUCCGCAUUGUAAUCUCAAGAAGUGUUUUCCGCUUCGGACCAAGCCUAAGUCCCUUGGAAAAGGGCAUCAUAGAGGGUGAUAAUCCCGUACAUGGCUUGGAGCGCCCGAAGCUUUGUGAUACGCUUUCUAAGAGUCGAGUUGUUUGGGAAUGCAGCUCAAAAUGGGUGGUAAAUGCCAUCUAAGGCUAAAUAUUGGGGAGAGACCGAUAGCGAACAAGUACAGUGAUGGAAAGAUGAAAAGAACUUUGAAAAGAGAGUUAAACAGUACGUGAAAUUGCCAAAAGGGAAGGGUAGGAGGUCAGAGAUGCGGCCUGGGAUUCAGCCUUGCUUUUGCUUGGUGUUUUUCCCAGAUUGCAGGCCAACGUCGGUUUUGGGCACUGGAGAAGGGUAGGAGGAACGUGGCACCUCUCGGGGUGUGUUAUAGCCUCCUACUGGAUACAGCGACCGAGACCGAGGACAGCAGCGUACUCGCAAGAGCGGGCCUUCGGGCACCUUUACGCUUAGGGCGUUGGCAUAAUGGCCCUUUAAACGAC
Molecule: ribosomal RNA, 607 nt
Filed under: Moesziomyces aphidis
Lineage: Eukaryota; Fungi; Basidiomycota; Ustilaginomycetes; Ustilaginales; Ustilaginaceae
Description: eukaryotic LSU rRNA
Rfam family: Eukaryotic large subunit ribosomal RNA
Source: RNAcentral